Molecule: ribosomal RNA, 253 nt
Filed under: uncultured bacterium
Lineage: Bacteria
Description: partial 16S ribosomal RNA
Rfam family: Bacterial small subunit ribosomal RNA
Source: RNAcentral
UACGUAGGGGGCAAGCGUUGUCCGGAUUUAUUGGGCGUAAAGAGCGUGUAGGCGGUUUGGUAGGUCCGCUGUGAAAACUCGAGGCUCAACCUCGAGACGCCGGUGGAAACCAUCAGACUAGAGUCCGGAAGAGGAGAGUGGAAUUCCUGGUGUAGCGGUGAAAUGCGCAGAUAUCAGGAAGAACACCCGUGGCUAAGGCGGCUCUCUAGUACGGUACUGACACUGAGACGCGAAAGCGUGGGGAGCGAACAGG